AUUCUUGUGCUAGGGCAUAACCACGCGCGUGAGGUUUCUACCGAUGCUGGUUUAUUGCUGGUUGAAAACUACAACCAAUACCCGUCUGCGGUACCUUCGGGUGCAGCAGCAAUUUUUGGCAGUCUCGUGAGAGA
RNAcentral lists this small nuclear RNA (134 nucleotides) under Phycomyces blakesleeanus NRRL 1555(-). RNAcentral describes it as "U4 spliceosomal RNA". It matches the Rfam family "U4 spliceosomal RNA". From Rfam's summary of the family: U4 small nuclear RNA (U4 snRNA) is a component of the major U2-dependent spliceosome. Lineage: Eukaryota; Fungi; Mucoromycota; Mucoromycetes; Mucorales; Phycomycetaceae. The record is from Rfam by way of RNAcentral.